UCCGGGGGGAGCAAGCGUUGUUCGGAUUUACUGGGCGUAAAGGGCGCGUAGGCGGCCACCGCAAGUCGACUGUGAAAUCUCCGGGCUUAACCCGGAAAGGCCAGCCGAUACUGCGGGGCUAGAGUGCAGAAGGGGCAACUGGAAUUCUCGGUGUAGCGGUGAAAUGCGUAGAUAUCGAGAGGAACACCUGCGGCGAAGGCGGGUUGCUGGGCUGACACUGACGCUGAGGCGCGAAAGCUAGGGGAGCGAACGGG
This 254-nucleotide ribosomal RNA is filed under the name uncultured bacterium. RNAcentral describes it as "partial 16S ribosomal RNA". It matches the Rfam family "Bacterial small subunit ribosomal RNA", at positions 524 to 776 of the family's 1533-position model. The record is from RNAcentral.